Molecule: long non-coding RNA, 776 nt
Filed under: Salvia miltiorrhiza (redroot sage)
Lineage: Eukaryota; Viridiplantae; Streptophyta; Magnoliopsida; Lamiales; Lamiaceae
Description: long non-coding RNA (SMIL_LNC000345)
Source: RNAcentral
AGGACAGUAGCUGUUGUCGUGUCAUGACCUCACUGGCCUACUUCUAGAGACUUUUCUUACAAUCACAGCAUAUGAAGGAAAUUUCCUUUGUUCUCGUAUCAUUACCUAGUGCUCUCUGCUUUCCUGCAUUUCAUUUCCUAGAUGCUAAAUUACAAGUUUUUGUCUAGCUGCUAAGGUUGUCAACAUUUUACUUAAGUGUACUUAUGCACACAACCAUAAUCGUUUAAAUGCAAUCAGCAAAGUAUAUUUUGCGAUUCAAACAGAUACCAAAUAAUCAGCCCAUAGCAUAGAUAACCCGAAAUUGCAACUUCAAUAAACUAUCAUGGCUUUCUAGGAGCGAGUUUAGAUCACUUGGAACUAAAUAGAUUUUCAGAUGCUUCUUGGGGUUCUUUAUGACCCGGUUCUCUUUCCAUUGUUUUCUCUUCCAUGAGCUUCACUUACACAUAAUUGUUAUGUUCUAAAUAGGGACUAACAGAAAUGCUAAAGCUUAAACUUUCGCCUCAUGUAUCGCCUUUCUCAUCAUGAACAAAGAUACUCAAUUUACCCAUCAUGUCCCCAAACAUCAACUCACUUUUUCAUAUCUAGCACCUUCUCUCUUUUUGACUCACGAAUCAAAUUACAUAGUUCAAGUGCAUGAAUAUGCUCUAUAUCAUUACCAACCUCUCUACCGAAGAAGUCACAAACUACCUAAACCAACACAAUCAAAGACACGCUUCCGGUUAAAGCACUCGAGAUAUAACCUCACUAAGCAAACAUAUAAGCAUAUAACUAUCCUA